CUACCCUUUUAUUACAGAGUCUCUGACACUAAUUUUGCUGCUUUGAGCACUGAGGAGGGUAGAAUACUAUAUAUUUCCUUUCUACUUAUCAAAUGCAGCAUAAACUCUUGCCUGCAAAACAACAUCUUGGGGAGGGGGGAUCAGGGAACAAUCCAAACCAAAACACAAUGAUCAGCUCAACUUACGUAUUUUAUCAUCAUCGACUAUUUAAAAGUACGAGUGCCAAACCAGACAUUCUAUAACGUUUGGGUGAUAGAAGCAAGUGACAAAAGAUCUGCUAACAUGGUAAGGAGCUUCUUGUGUGUGCCUGAUGUAUGACUCGAAAUAUUUGUUUAGAAUUGUAUCAGAAUAAUGAAAGAUAAGUGUGUAUAUUGUUUCUCUUGCAGAAAGUUAUAACUGCAGUAACCUGUGCUUUUACCAUCAUGAUGGUCUUAUCUGCAGUUGAAUCAACUCGUACUCCAAAGAGUAAGUUCAUAGCAAGGAACUGGGGCCCUCAAUCAAUGCUAUACCUCAAAGGACGAUAUGGCCGAAGAUACGCUUCUUCUGAUAAAGAGGAACAAAGUUACAAGAUUGACUUGGAUGAUCCAAAUGCAGUUCUGAAAAGUUAUAGAAACUCAGCACCACUGAAAUUCUUGAACUCCAUAAGAAGAUUAACAGCUAAAAAUAUGGACAUUGAACAUGUGGACUAACAAUUUAUAUGAUUUGCUCUUCAAAUUUUUCAAAUGCUAUAUAUAAUUUUAAAAGUAUUUCAUUGUUGCCUUUUUCCAUUUGUGCUCCUGUGAAAUGCUUUAUGCAAUAUUGAUUAUAACAAAUCAGUCUAUUUAAUCAGAAAAACUGCUUUACCCUAAUAAAUGUGAACAUGAAAAAUGAGAACGUCA
This 878-nucleotide long non-coding RNA is filed under the name Pogona vitticeps (central bearded dragon). RNAcentral describes it as "lncRNA (ENSPVIG00000022198.1)". The record is from RNAcentral. Lineage: Eukaryota; Metazoa; Chordata; Lepidosauria; Squamata; Agamidae.